GGCAAAGAUGCAUGCAGGGUUUAUUUUUCUCCAGCAGCCCCACAGUGAUUUAGACUUAUGCUCUAUUCUUCUAUACUUCAGGUAUGUCCCUCAUUUCUCCUGGUGGUCAUCUCAACUCCAGCAUCACUCUCUACAGGAAGAGAAAGGGAAGCACAAGAGCGUGUAACACUGGAUCUGUCCUAUCAAAGGGCUUUCCAAGCUUCUGUUUGCGUCUCACAGAUCAGCCUGUUUCAAACAGCCACCGAAGUACAAGGGAAGCUAAUGCCAAUGCGGAAGGAAGGGGUACUUGCAACCAGCCUUACUGAAGUCUGACCCAUGUCCCCCAUGCUGCACCUUCUGGGAGGAUACCCGUGGGCGAGUUUCAAUAAAUACAUACACGGCAGUCGAGAUACAGAAAGUCCCCAUUUCUGUCCUUGGGCCCUUUUUAAGCAGUCAAUCCCUCCUCCCAUCUUGGCCCCAGAUAAUCACUGAUCUGUUUUCUGUCACAAUAAAUUAGUCUGCCUUUUCUGUAAUCUUUAAUG
This 521-nucleotide long non-coding RNA is filed under the name Marmota monax (woodchuck). Lineage: Eukaryota; Metazoa; Chordata; Mammalia; Rodentia; Sciuridae. The record is from RNAcentral.